CUCUAAGUAACCUAAGAAAGGUACUAAACUUUUAAUUUAGUUAUGAUAAUAUUAUAUCCUUAGGGA
Molecule: non-coding RNA, 66 nt
Organism: Liolophura sinensis
Lineage: Eukaryota; Metazoa; Mollusca; Polyplacophora; Chitonida; Chitonidae
Source: the annotation of a RefSeq genome assembly